RNAcentral lists this ribosomal RNA (796 nucleotides) under uncultured bacterium. Its description in RNAcentral is "bacterial SSU rRNA". It matches the Rfam family "Bacterial small subunit ribosomal RNA", at positions 1 to 794 of the family's 1533-position model. The record is from RNAcentral.
UAGAGUUUGAUCAUGGCUCAGGAUGAACGCUAGCGGCAGGCUUAACACAUGCAAGUCGAGGGGCAUCGGGAGGAAAGCUUGCUUUCCUUGCCGGCGACCGGCGCACGGGUGAGUAACACGUAUGCAACCUGCCCUCUUCAGGGGGACAACCUUCCGAAAGGGAGGCUAAUCCCGCGUAUAUCGGUUUCGGGCAUCCGAGAUCGAGGAAAGAUUCAUCGGAAGAGGAUGGGCAUGCGGCGCAUUAGCUUGACGGCGGGGUAACGGCCCACCGUGGCGACGAUGCGUAGGGGUUCUGAGAGGAAGGUCCCCCACACUGGUACUGAGACACGGACCAGACUCCUACGGGAGGCAGCAGUGAGGAAUAUUGGUCAAUGGGAGAGAUCCUGAACCAGCCAAGCCGCGUGAGGGAAGACGGCCCUAUGGGUUGUAAACCUCUUUUGUCGGAGAACAAAACCCGGGACGUGUCCCGGACUGCGUGUAUCCGAAGAAAAAGCAUCGGCUAACUCCGUGCCAGCAGCCGCGGUAAUACGGAGGAUGCGAGCGUUAUCCGGAUUUAUUGGGUUUAAAGGGUGCGUAGGCGGUCCGUUAAGUCAGCGGUAAAAUUGCGGGGCUCAACCCCGUCGAGCCGUUGAAACUGGCAGACUUGAGUUGGCGAGAAGUACGCGGAAUGCGCGGUGUAGCGGUGAAAUGCAUAGAUAUCGCGCAGAACUCCGAUUGCGAAGGCAGCGUACCGGCGCCAGACUGACGCUGAGGCACGAAAGCGUGGGGAUCGAACAGGAUUAGAUACCCUGGUAGU